GACGAACGCUGGCGGCGUGCCUAAUACAUGCAAGCCGAGCGCAGGAAACUGACGGAACUCUUCGGAGGGAAGGCAGUGGAAUGAGCGGCGGACGGGUGAGUAACACGUAAGGAACCUGCCUCAAGGAUUGGGAUAACUCCGAGAAAUCGGAGCUAAUACCGGAUAGUUCAACGGACCGCAUGGUCCGCUGAUGAAAGGCGCUCCGGCGUCACCUUGAGAUGGCCUUGCGGUGCAUUAGCUAGUUGGUGGGGUAACGGCCCACCAAGGCGACGAUGCAUGGCCGACCUGGGAGGGUGAUCGGCCACACUGGGACUGAGACACGGCCCAGACUCCUACGGGAGGCAGCAGUAGGGAAUCUUCCACAAUGGACGAAAGUCUGAUGGAGCAACGCCGCGUGAGUGAUGAAGGUUUUCGGAUCGUAAAACUCUGUUGUAAGGGAAGAACACGUACGAGAGGAAAUGCUCGUACCUUGACGGUACCUUACGAGAAAGCCACGGCUAACUACGUGCCAGCAGCCGCCGUAA
Molecule: ribosomal RNA, 524 nt
Filed under: uncultured bacterium
Lineage: Bacteria
Description: partial 16S ribosomal RNA
Rfam family: Bacterial small subunit ribosomal RNA
Source: RNAcentral